UAUCAUGGAAAUUAUGUGUAAAAUUAUAGCAUGUGACUGUACUUUUCUCUUCCUUACAGAGGAGGUGCUGUAGCCAAUCUGGCUACAUUUUCAUUUUCUAGGACUACAUCAUACCUCAACAAUCAAGGAAGUGUGAACACAAAACCUCAGAUAGUGAACCAUGUCCCUUCCUGGGCCUCACUAUAUCAGAUUCCCAUAGCUUCUUGCUCCAAGCCAUGCCAGUCUAAGCAUGAAGAGGACAUGGAGAGAGAACAGUUUGGAGGAAUGCUGUGUACAUUGAUCUGCUUUUGAAACAUUUUAGAACUUUUUGCUAGUGCCACUAGAAAUUCAGAAAAGAUUGAAGCUAUUGGAAUAGUGUCCUGGUUUUCAUAACAACAACAACAACAACAACAACAACAACAACAACAACAACAACAACAACAAAAGGAUGAUGAAACUGGCAUAAAAAUAAUGUAUUCAAGACUCACCCAUAGCAAAACCAAUAAUUUCCUGGAGUAAACUAAAAUACAUCUUUUUUUCCCCCUCAGUGGCACAGCAGGAUGAAUUCUUUUUCUUGAUCAUUUGCAAAUGGCCUGUUGCCAAUCAAGAUCAAAAGUUGUAAAAGGCUCACCCUUAGAGGAGCCAUUAAUCACUGAUGACCCAACUUUCAGGAAGAAAAUAUCUAGAAUUCCUAGAAGUGAGAUUCAUGGAAGGUAAUGAGAGAAUGAAUGUAUUUGAAGACUGAUAAAGGAGGCUUCUGGGAGAAACUUUUUACUGUGGCUGACCUCUAUUCCCAUCCAUAGUUAUGAUUCUCUUCUUUUUUCCUCUUAUCUAGG
Molecule: non-coding RNA, 815 nt
Organism: Pantherophis guttatus
Lineage: Eukaryota; Metazoa; Chordata; Lepidosauria; Squamata; Colubridae
Source: RefSeq, a predicted model, not a curated record